CUACUCACUGGGCUAUCGUAGCUCAUCCCUCUCCCCUAACUUCAGUUGUGCAGGUUCAGAGAUCAGAGAGAACUCAGCAGGGUACAGGAAGAGUACAGAGUGGUGUAAUAGCUAGUGUGGACAUGUAAAUGUAAAGAGAUAAGGUUUAUGUAUAGUGUAUAGCAUGGUGCUUGACUAUAAGAAAUGUAAUCCCUUUGUGGAGUC
This 204-nucleotide long non-coding RNA is filed under the name Manihot esculenta (cassava). Its description in RNAcentral is "long non-coding RNA (MESC_LNC010893)". The record is from RNAcentral. Lineage: Eukaryota; Viridiplantae; Streptophyta; Magnoliopsida; Malpighiales; Euphorbiaceae.